This 467-nucleotide ribosomal RNA is filed under the name uncultured bacterium. Its description in RNAcentral is "partial 16S ribosomal RNA". It matches the Rfam family "Bacterial small subunit ribosomal RNA", at positions 29 to 507 of the family's 1533-position model. The record is from RNAcentral.
ACGAACGCUGGCGGCGUGCUUAACACAUGCCAGUCGAACGGAAAGGCCCUGCUUUUGUGGGGUGCUCGAGUGGCGAACGGGUGAGUAACACGUGAGUAACCUGCCCUUGACUUUGGGAUAACUUCAGGAAACUGGGGCUAAUACCGGAUAGGAGCUCCUGCUGCAUGGUGGGGGUUGGAAAGUUUCGGCGGUUGGGGAUGGACUCGCGGCUUAUCAGCUUGUUGGUGGGGUAGUGGCUUACCAAGGCUUUGACGGGUAGCCGGCCUGAGAGGGUGACCGGCCACAAUGGGACUGAGAUACGGCCCAGACUCCUACGGGAGGCAGCAGUGGGGAAUAUUGCACAAUGGGCGGAAGCCUGAUGCAGCAACGCCGCGUGCGGGAUGACGGCCUUCGGGUUGUAAACCGCUUUCGCCUGUGACGAAGCGUGAGUGACGGUAAUGGGUAAAGAAGCACCGGCUAACUACGUG